UGCAGGAAAUGGGUCCUGUGUCUUACUUAAGUGAUCUAGUCUUUUCAACAGCUGCGAGUUUGUUGCAUUUAAAGGCUGCACUUUCAUCUUCAUAUACUCUAUGCCAUUGUUCAGAACUAUCUUCUCAUUAAGGAACCCAACUUUCUGUUUAUUGACAUACUUUCCAUAAAUGCAUCUAAAGAGACAGGGAGAAAUAAGACUCAGAAUCAGUAAGUGAGAAGCCCUAGAGUAAGAAAAGAACACAAAGGUUUCCUAAAAGGCAGAGGACCUAGGUCACGGCUAAGUUUUAAAAGAGGAUGGAAUAUCAUUAAAAAUGAGAUCUUGCUGGCCUCACUGAAGUACACAAUUAUCAUUUUAAGAGGUUUAUUUUAUGGUCUUAAUAUUACAGAUGUGGACAAAGUGUUCUGAAGAACUAGUCAUCAAAAAUGCCAAAGAUCUAAGUCCUAAUGACUUUAUCUCUGAAAUUCAGUUAAAAAAAAAUCAAUGAUUGUCAUUAACUUUGGGAGAGUAACUCCUCAAAUAUGACUUCCUUGUAGCUUCCACAGUUUAUUGCUCAGGACUCUAGAUUUUAUUGAUGCCUCAUCCUGACAUUAGAACUGUCCCUCAUACAUUUUUGUUCCUUCCCUGCCUAGUACACUAAAAUUAAUGAAAAAGGAAAAACAAAAGAAAUGACACGGAGAUAACAGGCCUGCUGGAUCUUGCUACUUUGUUAAGGGAGAAAUCAGCAGCUGGUCUGUUGCCUUUCAUGGGAAGAUGAAGGGGCUCAGGCUCUAUUUAUCAGAUGCCUCACUGGGUGCCAUCCAUUGAGCUAAACAAGAUGUGUCUACCUAAACCUCCAGUUGACCUGAAAGGAAGAAGUUCCUGUAGCUGAGGUCGAAGAGGUUGCUGCCUGUGUUCAUCUCAAGGAUUUUGAUGGAUUCCUGUCUCACAUUGAGGUCCUUCAUCAAUUUGGAGUCUACUUUUGUGUGUGGUGUAAGGAAAUGGCCCAGUUUCAUUCUUCUGCAUGUGGUUGUCCAAUUCUUCCAACACUAGGUAGAUAUUUUUGAGCGCCCUUUAUCUAAAGACACAUAGAUAAAUGAGAGUUUGAACAUACCCUCAAGGAACUAAGUUCAGACAGAGGACAUAAGGAACUAAGUUUAGAUGUAGGAUAUACAUGAUUGUAAUACAGGAGAGGUAUAAAAAUAGUGUUUUUAUUACAUUAAGGAGGAUGGUUAAUUCUCAGGGAGAAACUUGGAAAGGUCUUAAAGAUUUGUUGUGUGGAUUAUUUUAAGUGUAUCAUUUCCAGAUUAGGCACCAGGUGGGCCCUCUGAGAAGACUGUAGAGUCUGAUGCCUGUAACCUUUGCCUCUCCCUCAAAAAAAGCACUUCCUUUGACAUUAGUCCCAUUGGCCACACUUAAAAUGAGCACCGGAACAGGGUGUGAACAGCCUUCUUGGACCACUUGCUGUCUGUAGAUAUUUGGACUCCAAGGGUUGUUUUCAACAAAAAUUUGAACAAAAACUCUUUUAGUCCUAGCCCAUGCUAUCUUGGGUCAUUCACUUAUCUCAAAAUCUUAAGAGUCUCUUUAUCAGCAUGAUUAAAAUCAGUUCCAUGUGUCAAAUAAUAUCCAAAAAAAUUUUUUUUUAAGACACAGUUUUCAGGGGCGCCUGAGUAGCUCAGUAGGUUAAGCCUCAGCCUUUGGCUUAAGUCGUGAUCUCCAGGUCCUGGGAUCGAGCCCCAUGUCAGGCUCUCUGCUAAGCAGGGAGCCUGCUUCCUCCUCUCUCUCUG
This is a long non-coding RNA of Mustela lutreola (European mink), 1766 nucleotides long. RefSeq lists it as uncharacterized. The record is from RefSeq and is a predicted model, not a curated record. The transcript has 3 exons. Lineage: Eukaryota; Metazoa; Chordata; Mammalia; Carnivora; Mustelidae.